Long non-coding RNA from Vidua macroura (Pin-tailed whydah), 259 nucleotides. RefSeq lists it as uncharacterized. NCBI's taxonomy places the organism in Eukaryota, Metazoa, Chordata, Aves, Passeriformes, Viduidae. The record is from RefSeq and is a predicted model, not a curated record. The transcript has 3 exons.
GACACAGAAGAAAGGUGGGACUCCAAUGGGGGAAAAAAGAAGCAAUGACAAACAGAAACACAGCAAAGCAGGACAGUGUGGCUGGCAGGGAAGGGACUUCAUGGAACAACGUGAUGACAGAUGUUGGUGGAGUGUUUACACAGUGGCUAUUUAGGAAAAACAAUGUCUGAAGCCUCAUCAGAUUGACUACAAAGCUUCCAGUGAUCUUCCCUCUUCAGCUGUGGACAAUACCUUAACUGCAGGGAUGAUGUUAUGUUGG